UGGUGCCAGCAGCCGCGGUAAUUCCAGCUCCAAUAGCGUAUAUUAAAGUUGUUGCAGUUAAAAAGCUCGUAGUUGGAUUUCGGGACGGGCCGGCCGGUCCGCCGCAAGGCGUGUUACUGACCGGGCUGUUCUUCUUCGCAAAGACUGCAUGUGCUCUUAACUGAGUGUGUGUAGGACUUGUGACGUUUACUUUGAAAAAAUUAGAGUGUUCAAAGCAGGCCAGCGCUUGAAUACAUAAGCAUGGAAUAAUGGAAUAGGACUUUGGUUCUAUUUUGUUGGUUUCUGGAACCGAAGUAAUGAUUAAAAGGGACAGUUGGGGGCAUUCGUAUUUCGUUGUCAGAGGUGAAAUUCUUGGAUUUACGAAAGACGAACUACUGCGAAAGCAUUUGCCAAGAAUGUUUUCAUUAAUCAAGAACGAAAGUUAGAGGA
Molecule: ribosomal RNA, 429 nt
Filed under: Aeolidia papillosa
Lineage: Eukaryota; Metazoa; Mollusca; Gastropoda; Nudibranchia; Aeolidiidae
Description: SSU rRNA
Rfam family: Eukaryotic small subunit ribosomal RNA
Source: RNAcentral